RNAcentral lists this long non-coding RNA (413 nucleotides) under Equus caballus (horse). RNAcentral describes it as "lncRNA (ENSECAG00000049050.1)". Lineage: Eukaryota; Metazoa; Chordata; Mammalia; Perissodactyla; Equidae. The record is from RNAcentral.
CAUCCUAAUAUUACCUGCAACUCUUUAGCAUCUUCAAUUAUCCUCCUCUGGGAGAGUCCAAACAGCCAUUUUUAGGAAGAAGAGAACAAAGUGCUUUUAGCCUCUUGUCCAUUUCAGCUUGGUGCAAUUGCAUAGAAUCCUGGUUGACAUCAUUGGGAUCUCCUACACACACCGAGAGCAAAUGCAGAGUUACUCACAGAUACCAGAGCAGCAACCUGCACCGCACUCAGCUUUCAGAAACAACUCUCCGUUCUUUCCAAAUUCAGGGCCAAGAAUUUCCAAACUCUUGAAAUGAGCUGUGAAUGGGGCAGUAAAUUAAAUAGAAACCAGGGCAAGGCAUAGCCUGAAAUGGAGCACAUUGAGCAGGGUAAAGAGGACUUUGCCAGAGUGCUGUGGUUUCAGCAAUGUUUGGG